RNAcentral lists this unclassified non-coding RNA (271 nucleotides) under Hevea brasiliensis (rubber tree). The record is from RNAcentral. Lineage: Eukaryota; Viridiplantae; Streptophyta; Magnoliopsida; Malpighiales; Euphorbiaceae.
UGGAAGAGCAUUUGGGUUGAACUUGUCAUCUGGGUGAUCUCCAACAUCCCCUGCAAUCUUGAUCCCCGUUCGCACGUUUUCCACAUAAACAUCAGAAAAGGUGAUAUUUCUUAUNNNNNNNNNNNUGCCAAUGUUUGUUUUUACAUGUAUGCCGACUCCCAUGUUGGAGAGGUUUAUAUUUUCUGCCAAGACAUUCUCCACCCCACCAGAGGUUUCACUUCCAACCGCAAUUCCAGCAAAAGGAGAUGAUCCUGUUACUCGCCGAAUUGUG